Molecule: transfer RNA, 84 nt
Filed under: Echinostoma caproni
Lineage: Eukaryota; Metazoa; Platyhelminthes; Trematoda; Plagiorchiida; Echinostomatidae
Rfam family: tRNA
About the family: Transfer RNA (tRNA) molecules are approximately 80 nucleotides in length.
Source: Rfam by way of RNAcentral
GGCCUCGUAGCUCAAAUGGCAGAACGUGCGCUGUACAAAGGCUUAGGCGGCGUCCAUGUGUGGGUUCAAAUUCCACCGAGGCUA